UCAAGCGAAUAAGUGCAUGUGGUGGAUGCCUAGGCGAUUACAGGCGAAGAAAGACGUGGUAGCCUGCGAGAAGCUCCGGGGAGCUGGCAAACGAGCAUUGAUCCGGAGAUGUCUGAAUGGGGAAACCCACCCGCGAGGGUACCCAUGACUGAAUACAUAGGUCAUGAGGAGCGAACCUGCUGAACUGAAACAUCUAAGUAGGCAGAGGAAAAGAAAUCAACCGAGAUUCCCGUAGUAGUGGCGAGCGAACCGGGAAGAGCCUGCAACAUUUAGCCAUUAAUUUAGCGGAACGGAAUGGAAAGUCCGACCAUAGUGGGUGAUAGUCCCGUACGCGAAGGAUUAGUGGUGGAACUGGGGUUGCGACAAGUAGGGCGGGACACGUGGAAUCCUGUCUGAAGAUGGGGGGACCAUCCUCCAAGGCUAAAUACUCGUAAUCGACCGAUAGUGAACCAGUACCGUGAGGGAAAGGCGAAAAGAACCCCGGGAGGGGAGUGAAAUAGAACCUGAAACCGCAUGCAUACAAACAGUGGGAGCCUCGAAAGGGGUGACUGCGUACCUUUUGUAUAAUGGGUCAGCGACUUACAUUCUGUGGCAAGCUUAACCGAAUAGGGGAGGCGUAGCGAAAGCGAGUCUGAAUAGGGCGAAUAGUCGCAGGGUGUAGACCCGAAACCAGAUGAGCUAUUCAUGGCCAGGUUGAAGGCAGGGUAAUACCUGUUGGAGGACCGAACCCACUAGUGUUGAAAAACUAGGGGAUGAGCUGUGGAUAGGGGUGAAAGGCUUAACAAAUCUGGAAAUAGCUGGUUCUCUCCGAAAACUAUUUAGGUAGUGCCUCACGUAUCACUUCUGGGGGUAGAGCACUGUUUUGGCUAGGGGGUCGUUUAGAUCUACCAAACCAAGGCAAACUCCGAAUACUGGAAAGUGUGAGCGUGGGAGACAGACACCGGGUGCUAACGUCCGGUGUCGAGAGGGAAACAACCCAGACCCUCAGCUAAGGUCCCCAAGACGUGGUUAAGUGGAGAACGAAGUGGGAAGGCGAAGACAGUCAGGAAGUUGGCUUAGAAGCAGCCAUCCUUUAAAGAAAGCGUAAUAGCUCACUGAUCGAGUCGUCCUGCGCGGAAGAUGUAACGGGGCUCAAACCAUGCACCGAAGCUAGGGAUAUCAGUAAUGAUAUGGUAGGAGAGCGUUCAGUAGGCCUGAGAAGGUGAGGUGUGAACCUUGCUGGAGGUAUCUGAAGUGCGAAUGCUGACAUGAGUAGCGAUAAAGCGGGUGAAAGGCCCGCUCGCCGAAAACCCAAGGUUUCCUGCGCAACGUUCAUCGGCGCAGGGUGAGUCGGCCCCUAAGGCGAGGCUGAGAAGCGUAGCUGAUGGGAAAUCGGUUAAUAUUCCGAUACCUUUGUGGAAUGCGAAGGGGGGACGGAGAAGGUUAGGCAAGCCGGGUGUUGGAUGUCCUGGUUUAAGCGUGUAGGCAGAUCUCUUAGGUAAAUCCGGGGGGUUAAUGUCGAGGCGUGAUGACGAGUAGUCUUAGACUAUGAAGUUGCUGAUACCAAGCUUCCAAGAAAAGCCUCUAAGCGAUAGUUUCACGAAGACCGUACCGCAAACCGACACAGGUGGGUAGGAUGAGAAUUCUAAGGCGCUUGAGAGAACUCGGGUGAAGGAACUCGGCAAAUUAGCACCGUAACUUCGGGAUAAGGUGCGCCCCGAUGAUGUGAAGGUCCUUGCGACUGGAGCAGUAAGGGGUUGCAGUGAAAUGGUGGCUGCGACUGUUUAAUAAAAACACAGCACUCUGCAAACACGAAAGUGGACGUAUAGGGUGUGACGCCUGCCCGGUGCUGGAAGGUUAAGUGAUGGGGUGCAAGCUCUUGAUCGAAGCCCCAGUAAACGGCGGCCGUAACUAUAACGGUCCUAAGGUAGCGAAAUUCCUUGUCGGGUAAGUUCCGACCCGCACGAAUGGCGUAACGAUGGCCACACUGUCUCCACCCGAGACUCAGCGAAGUUGAAGUGUUUGUGAAGAUGCAAUCUCCCCGCUGCUAGACGGAAAGACCCCAUGCACCUUUACUGUAGCUUUACAUUGGACUUUGAUGAGAUUUGUGUAGGAUAGGUGGGAGGCGUUGAGAGCAUGCCGCUAGGUGUGCUGGAGCCGACCUUGAAAUACCACCCUGAUGUUAUUGAGGUUCUAA
RNAcentral lists this ribosomal RNA (2176 nucleotides) under Ferrovum sp. PN-J185. RNAcentral describes it as "bacterial LSU rRNA". It matches the Rfam family "Bacterial large subunit ribosomal RNA", at positions 3 to 2225 of the family's 2925-position model. The record is from RNAcentral. Lineage: Bacteria; Pseudomonadati; Pseudomonadota; Betaproteobacteria; Ferrovales; Ferrovaceae.